UAAACGACUCUCGGCAACGGAUAUCUCGGCUCACGCAUCGAUGAAGAACGUAGCAAAAUGCGAUACUUGGUGUGAAUUGCAGAAUCCCGUGAACCAUCGAGUUUUUGAACGCAAGUUGCGCCCGAAGCCUUUUGGCCAAGGGCACGUCUGCCUGGGUGUCACGC
Molecule: ribosomal RNA, 164 nt
Filed under: Bidens pilosa (bur-marigold)
Lineage: Eukaryota; Viridiplantae; Streptophyta; Magnoliopsida; Asterales; Asteraceae
Description: 5.8S ribosomal RNA
Rfam family: 5.8S ribosomal RNA
About the family: 5.8S ribosomal RNA (5.8S rRNA) is a component of the large subunit of the eukaryotic ribosome. It is transcribed by RNA polymerase I as part of the 45S precursor that also contains 18S and 28S rRNA.
Source: RNAcentral